This 1251-nucleotide long non-coding RNA is filed under the name Homo sapiens (human). Its description in RNAcentral is "HSALNT0290438". Lineage: Eukaryota; Metazoa; Chordata; Mammalia; Primates; Hominidae. The record is from RNAcentral.
CGCCAUGAGCAAAGUCUGCGGCCCCUCACUCGGCGCGGCUCCGGGAACACUGGGGCGGGGGUGGGUGAUUCAGUCCCCCACCCCCGGGUGUCCUGACUCCCUGGUGGCCCUGGGCUGACAGCUCCACACCUUGGGAGGCCGCACCCCCACCUGCCGCAUUUCCUCGUUCUGAGUCACCCUUGCUCAGAACGCUUGACUUUGGGACUUCCUGUCCGCACUCGCGGCCCCUAACCUGCCCCGGGAGCCCGGGAGUGCGGCUUGGGAAGGAGGGAAAGGAGUGUGUGAGCAGGGAUUGGCCCGAACCUAUCUCCACGCUCUCCCCCGGGACUGGAGGUGAAGGGGGGCGUGGAGAAAAUCUCAGGGAACAGGGGCUUCGACAGGGGGCUCCCGCCCGCCCGAGCCCCCUCCCCAAAAUGCGAGGCCUGCACAGUAUGCCUUCUCCGCAAAACCUCGGCAAGCGGGUUAGUGAAUUCAGGUCACUAAGAAGCUGAGCCCGCGGAAAGCUGCCCAAACACCCCCUUCUCUAGGGGACUCCCCACGCCCCCCGCCGGGACGCGUUCCCGAAGUCGCCGCCUGGACUGCAACCGCGUGGCCUGCGCCGCGUCCUCUUCUCCGCAGCCUCCGAGGCCCGUGCGACCAAGCUGAAACCGCUUAUUCUCCGGAGCCCCUAUGACCCCGGGUGGGGGCCAGGGCUCGCCUCGAUCGCAGCCCGUGCGCCCUCCGGACUCCAGUUCGCCGGGACUGGGCGACACCAGAAGCGGCUAGUGUGAGUGAAACAAACGGGAAAUUUGCUCUGGCCCGCCUGCCCAGCCACCCACGGCUGCCUGUUGGCCAAUCACCAUUUGACCAGUCCAGGAAGAGCAACUGUGGCAGGCCUGAUUUCCUGGGAGGCCCCAGACUCCCUUUGCCUACCUCUUCCUCUCUGACCCCAUCCUCGCUUUGAUGCCCGGGACCUGCUACCCAGUGCAUUGAGAGAUGACAGUAGCUCGGCCUCUUAGAGCAGUAUGACGAUGGCACAAGUUACUAUUUGCCAAGCACAGAGCAUGACGUCAUGCCCAGAAGCCCAGGAUACAAUCCAGAGACAAUGACAAAUGGGGGAUUCCCGCUUCUGCAGAAGGUGGGGCGACUGGUGCCCAGGGGCCCCCAGGAAGUGCCCUUACCUGACUCCCAGGAUCCUCCUCUGUGACCCUGGGGCCUUCCAACCUGCCAGGAUCUCGCUCUGUCACCCAGGCCAGAGUGCAGUGGUGCGAU